UGGGGGAUAUUGCACAAUGGGGGAACCCUGAUGCAGCGACGCCGCGUGGGUGAAGAAGCGCCUCGGCGCGUAAAGCCCUGUCAGCAGGGAAGAAAAUGACGGUACCUGAAGAAGAAGCCCCGGCUAACUACGUGCC
RNAcentral lists this ribosomal RNA (136 nucleotides) under uncultured bacterium. RNAcentral describes it as "partial 16S ribosomal RNA". It matches the Rfam family "Bacterial small subunit ribosomal RNA", at positions 355 to 509 of the family's 1533-position model. The record is from RNAcentral.